Molecule: ribosomal RNA, 390 nt
Filed under: uncultured bacterium
Lineage: Bacteria
Description: partial 16S ribosomal RNA
Rfam family: Bacterial small subunit ribosomal RNA
Source: RNAcentral
CCUACGGGAGGCAGCAGUGAGGAAUAUUGGUCAAUGGACGAGAGUCUGAACCAGCCAAGUAGCGUGAAGGAUGACUGCCCUAUGGGUCGUAAACUUCUUUUAUAAAGGAAUAAAACGAGGCACGUGUGCCUUUUUGCAUGUACCUUAUGAAUAAGGAUCGGCUAACUCCGUGCCAGCUGCCGCGGUAAUACGGAGGAUCCGAGCGUUAUUCGGAUUUAUUGGGUUUAAAGGGAGCGUAGGUGGGUUGUUAAGUCAGUUGUUAAAGUUUGCGGCUCAACCGUCAGAUUGCAUUUGAUACUGGCAGUCUUGAGUUCAGUUGAAGUAGGCGGAAUUCGUGGUGUAGCGGUGAAAUGCUUAGAUAUCGCGAAGAACCCCGAUUGCGAAGGCAGC